UCAACUCUUAGGAGAAAAUUAUCAUUUACCACUAACUCCUUAAACCUACUACAGAAACUCGAUAUUCUUUGAAGAGUUUCAUCAGACACUACAUAUGCAUUAGAUAAUACACUCAAUAAUAAAAAAUAAAUACCACUCUUAAAAUUUUCUUCUCAACUUUUCAAUCAUUUUCCAGAGGAAAUAAACAAUUUUUUUUUCUCCAGUGUUCUCAUUUGUCUUCAAUCUUGCAAAUCCAAAAUCACUAAUCAAUGCAUUAAAAUCUAAAUCAAGCAAGAUUGCAAAAAUGAUGUAGAUAUUCAAAUCUUUUAGCAACAGCAGCAAACUAAGAUUUCAAUACACCCAAGUCAGAUCAUUAAGUUUUUUGUUGGAGAGCCCUGCCAUGGUCCUCAUACCCCUUCUCACACCUAUCAAUUUCUCUGUUGCUCCUGUGCGUUGGCAUAAUAUCCCAAAGAACCCAACCCACAUUUUUAGGAUGCAUGUGAUGACCCUGGAAGUGCGGCAUCUGUGUGGCUCCAACGAAAAUGCUUCUCGAACUUUGUCCACUAAGCAUCGAUUUGAAUCGGUUCCAGUGAUAUGUUCCAAUUAAAAUCAAUUAGGAUGUAAUAAAUAGAGCAAGGGAGAAUCAGUCGCAGCUAAGAUGGAAAUUAUUGUGAUUGGGUUUUUUUUUCUCGUGACUUUCUUGAUGGUGAGAGUUUUAGUUUUAUUCUUGUGAUUCUGUUUGGCUCUUGAGAAAAUUGAUAGAGAGAAUGAGCGAUUACGAGAGAAAGGGACAAACCAAGAAGAAAAAGAAAUGGGUGAGAAGGGCAUUAGAAGUGGAAAAGAGAAAUGAAUUAAAGGGUCAAACCAAGAAGAAAAAGAAAUGGGUAAGAAGGGCAUUGGAUUGCAAGAGGUAUAAGUGAAAA
RNAcentral lists this long non-coding RNA (902 nucleotides) under Manihot esculenta (cassava). Its description in RNAcentral is "long non-coding RNA (MESC_LNC002859)". Lineage: Eukaryota; Viridiplantae; Streptophyta; Magnoliopsida; Malpighiales; Euphorbiaceae. The record is from RNAcentral.